CGACUCUCGGCAACGGAUAUCUCGGCUCUCGCAUCGAUGAAGAACGUAGCGAAAUGCGAUACUUGGUGUGAAUUGCAGAAUCCCGUGAACCAUCGAGUCUUUGAACGCAAGUUGCGCCCGAAUCCCUCGUGGCCAGGGCACGUCUGUCUGGGCGUCACGCA
This 161-nucleotide ribosomal RNA is filed under the name Atraphaxis bracteata x Atraphaxis frutescens. RNAcentral's name for it is "5.8S ribosomal RNA". It matches the Rfam family "5.8S ribosomal RNA". Rfam says of the family: 5.8S ribosomal RNA (5.8S rRNA) is a component of the large subunit of the eukaryotic ribosome. Lineage: Eukaryota; Viridiplantae; Streptophyta; Magnoliopsida; Caryophyllales; Polygonaceae. The record is from RNAcentral.